GCCUCUUGAUGCUCUCCCGGAAGGACUCACCAGUCCAUCUAGGAGCAAAAUGGAAGGACUCUCCCCAACCGAACUCAUAAAAGCUGGUCACGAGAUCAUAGUAUUUAUUGACCAUGUCGGUGUAGUUGGCUUCUCUUUCCUUCUUUUCGCCUCCAUAGAAGCCAUGGUAUUUCUCAUACUUUUCAACGGCGCAGAGUACUUCAGCUUUG
Molecule: unclassified non-coding RNA, 209 nt
Filed under: Hevea brasiliensis (rubber tree)
Lineage: Eukaryota; Viridiplantae; Streptophyta; Magnoliopsida; Malpighiales; Euphorbiaceae
Source: RNAcentral